UGACGGAGAGUUUGAUCCUGGCUCAGGAUUAACGCUGGCGGCGUGCCUGACACAUGCAAGUCGAACGAGGCCGCAAGGCCUAGUGGCGGACGGGUGAGU
This 99-nucleotide ribosomal RNA is filed under the name Candidatus Dormiibacterota bacterium. RNAcentral's name for it is "partial 16S ribosomal RNA". It matches the Rfam family "Bacterial small subunit ribosomal RNA", at positions 1 to 111 of the family's 1533-position model. The record is from RNAcentral. Lineage: Bacteria; Bacillati; Candidatus Dormiibacterota.